RNAcentral lists this ribosomal RNA (446 nucleotides) under uncultured bacterium. Its description in RNAcentral is "partial 16S ribosomal RNA". It matches the Rfam family "Bacterial small subunit ribosomal RNA", at positions 338 to 795 of the family's 1533-position model. The record is from RNAcentral.
CCUACGGGUGGCUGCAGUCGAGAAUCAUUCACAAUGGGGGAAACCCUGAUGGUGCGACGCCGCGUGGGGGAAUGAAGGUCUUCGGAUUGUAAACCCCUGUCAUGUGGGAGCAAAUUAAAAAGAUAGUACCACAAGAGUAAGAGACGGCUAACUCUGUGCCAGCAGCCGCGGUAAUACAGAGGUCUCAAGCGUUGUUCGGAAUCACUGGGCGUAAAGCGUGCGUAGGCUGUUUCGUAAGUCGUGUGUGAAAGGCGCGGGCUCAACCCGCGGACGGCACAUGAUAAUGCGAGACUAGAGUAAGGGAGGGGGAACCGGAAUUCUCGGUGUAGCAGUGAAAUGCGUAGAUAUCGAGAGGAACACUCGUGGCGAAGGCGGGUUCCUGGACAUUAACUGACGCUGUGGCACGAAGGCCAGGGGAGCGAAAGGGAUUAGAUACCCCAGUAGUC